CAGGAGGGCAAGCCUCACAGAGCCCCGGCUCCACCCCGAGCCCGCCCCGCCCUGCCCGGGAUGCUGCGCUCGGCAGAGCUCGGCUACUGUCGACUGCAUUCGGCUGCGUUCACCUCUUCGGCGCAGCUCGGCUCCCUUCGGCCGAACCCGGAGCCGCUCGCUCCGCUCGGCUCGGCUCGGUUGAACCCGGAACCGCUCCGUUCGGCUCGGCUCGGCUCGGCUCGGCUCGGCUCGGCUCGGCUCGGCUCGGCUCGGCUCGGCUCCCUGAGGCCGGCGCCGCCCCACGUUCGGCGCGCUCAGCUCGCUGCUCUGCUGCUGCCGGGGCCGUGCGCCGCCCGGGCGUCCCACGGAACCCGCCACGGAAACUUAGACAAAACAGUUUCUAUGUUAAACCCUUUUUAUCCUAUAAGAAGAAAACUUCUCUGCCUCCUUCGUUUUCUCAUUUUUCUUCUUUGAUUUCAAAAUCUGAGUUUCAAAAACCUACUCAAGUACAAGACUUGGUGCCUUCUGCAAUCUGGAACAGAUCCAGUCUACAUCUGCACCUUUGAGCAGGGAUCUUCUCAGUGCCAUGGAGCUGUGCAUUUCUUAUUCUAGUGCUUCCCUGGAGGAAUGACUGUUUCCAGUUACCCGUGCCCUCACCUGAAGAUCCAGCCCUGCAGACAGGAUUCAACUCAAAUAAAAGAAAGUUUUCAUGCUAAUGGCAAAUUGGGGUGACCCUCCAUUCCUCUGAGUCUUCCCAUGUGAGUCAGCUGUUCCAGUUCUCCUGUAUGGAUCAGAGCAGCUGACAUGGAUGCACAAGAAUAGAGCAGUGCUUCAAAACCACGGUCUGUUGACAGACCCUUGUUAUUAAUGCCUGGCUAAGUCAGAAAAUGCACACAUAUUAAUCCUUGUUUUGCUUUUAUUUGCAAUGGUAAAAAUAUUAAAAGAAAUCAUAAACAUUAGUCUGAGAAAUAUGAUUGCAUGCUGCUCUGUCCUUGCUACCAAAGACCAGGCACUGAAGGAACAUACCACAAACUGUGCCAGUUAUAUUUCUGCUCUGAUAGGCCAGGAACCACCAGGAACAGGCCAGGAACCACCAGGAAUAGGCCAGGAAUGACAGCAAUCUGAUGCAGAGCACAGCUCAGUGCUGUGUGGUAGAUACUGCACCUUUCAUACCUGCAUCAUUUACCUACAUUUUAAAACUCCUAGGACAGGUCAUGAUGUAAAUAUUUCUGUUCAUUCAGAAAAUGUUAUACCCUUGAAAACAGGACAGGAAGUUCCUUCUAUGGAACAUAUCUAGAAAUAACUGCAAUGAUGUUCCCUGCUUGUAUUAUAGCCCUGUCUCUACAAAAGGAACCAACAUUUUCUUUGUAUUUAAGGAGAUAGUUCUGACUACACUGUAAAGCAGCAGUUGAAACAAGGAGGUAGUGAGUUGAUUUCACCAGAACUAGGAAGAAGAGCCACCUCCUUCUAAGAUCCUCAAAAAAAAGAAUUAGGUUUAUUCCAAAAAAUAUUGCAUCCUGAUUGAUCAAGUAAGCAUAAUGUCGGUCUGAGUGCAGCAUCUGCUCUUGUCUUUUUAUGUGCAUAUCAAGGCUUUAGAGAGGGAUAAAAAUAUUAGUUGUGUUGUAGUCUGCGUUUCUAAAGGCAUAUCUAUACAACUGCUACACAAUGAAAAGGGACAAAUAGAAAUUAUUUGUCUGACCAGGGUUCAGAUAAGACCUACUCAGUGUCCUGAACUAGUGUCUGUGAUUUCCUUUUGCUCUGCAGGAGCUCAGGUGUUUGAAGGGAAGGAGUCUGCUUCUACCAUUGCUAUGACUGAGGUGGGACAGGGCGUGGUGGAGGAGUGUGAUGGCUUCUGGAGGAGACAUGGUCCAGCUUUUCCCAAUAUGCAGUAAAUCCACCAACAUAUUCAUAUCUGGGUGGUAAUGGGGUGCCCUGUGAGGUAUCUUUGGAUGGAGAUUUUACAAAUAAGGGCUGUUAUAACAGCAACCAACUUUGUCAGUCUGGAGGAUUUAAUUUUACCGAGUUAUUUAGCCAAAACUGUCUCAGGAAGUCCCUGUGCUACAAAUUGCUGAAAGGUAUGAAAGUACCUAGGAAAGGCAUAUAUUCCCAUGCUUUCUAAAUUUCUGAUAAGACAUAACUUAAGUCCCUGCCUGAGAUACAUGGGAUGAAGCUUUGAGACAAAAUGUUACAGAUGCUUUCAUAUUGGUGGUGAUAGGAAUGGGUUUCUAAGAAGUAGUAAAAUACAUUUGAAGCUAAUAAUUAUUCAACUAAGAAAAGUAGAUCCUAAACAUAGGAUGCACAAGUAUCAAAACAAGUCAUGCACAAGUAUCAAAACCUUUCAUUCCUGUAGUAUGGAGAGAAAGAAGUACCAUUGUACUGGAAAUGCAAGCUGAAGAUAAGGCAAGGCCUUAGGGACAGCAAGUGUGGUCCUGCUGUGACCAGCUGGCCAAACAAAAAUAGUUUUUGACAACCUCAGCUCCCUGGUAGGAUUACUUAAUCAUCAAGAAAAUGUCCAUAUUCUCAUUCCCAAGAGGACUAUUAUUAAACUGAAUUAAAUCAAAGAAAUUGUAUUAAAGGACUUGUGCUUCGGCAUUGCAUAAUUCUCUUUUGCAUCUGAGAUUUCUUGUUCUGUGGUGAAGUUUUCUAAUAGCUGAUAGUUUGAAAGAAAGAUUUAAAAAUAAUUUAGCUUGUUUCUUACAAAGAGAUAAAGUCCUUUUACCUUUAUAGUAGGUCUACUUUUCACUUAAGCUAAAAAAGAUGGUAAGACACCAUCUGCAGCAGCCUUUAUUAGCUGAGAAUCAAAUGUAUGUAGACUUUUCCUGAUAGGAUUUGUAAAUUUCUGUUGAAAGUUAUUUAACUCCAGCAAGGAAUCAAAGGAAAGAUCCAUAGUUUGAUCACCUUGAGCCACUGCCUUUCCCUUAUGGCAUAGCUCCCCCCAAAUCUGCUUAUCCUCAUGGUGGAUGCUUGUUCUCUGGAGAAGAGAAACAGAAGGCUGUUCAGGGUUCUGUUGUCAGCUUCACUUUUUUUCACACAUCUUACUAUAAGAUAGGGCUGAGAGAGCUACAGGGCUACAUAGUGUCCUCCUGAGCACCCUGCAGUGUUUAAACCAUGGCUAAUCGGCUUUUGACUGCUAGAUCCAACUGCAGCCUAAAGGAUCAGUUUAAUUAAAUGGGAGAUUAGCAAGAGUAAGUUUUCCCCUGAGAUUUUAAAAUUCUAUUGUGAUUUUUACACAGUGCAUUCUAAGUCAAUAUAAGCAGCAAUAAUUUAGAUUUUCUGCUUAUUUUUAAAUUCUGUCAGGGACUCAGUAUAGAUCAAAAGUAAAAGUGUAUUUGUAAGCACUGUGUUACUUCUGUAACAACCUUUGUAUUAACUGCUUACUGUUAAACUGUGGAAAUUGGAUUUUGCUUCAUGAAACUUUCAUGCAGUUUUCAUGAAUUUCCUAGGGACUGAUCAACAGAUCUUUCAAUGCAUAUCCAGCUGAUGAGACACAGUCAAGUCUCUUGAGUCCUAAGUCCUAUUUCCUCUCUGAAAAUCCACAGCAUUUAAAAAGAAAUAUUACAAUGCAUUAUGAAAAAUCUAUAACCUCUCUGAAAGAAAUAUGGGCUAGAUACCAAGUGCUUACAUUUUGGUAGUUCUGGAAAGGGAAGGAUAUUGUUUGCAACUCCAUCCCUCCUUGACCCAUGCUGUAUUCGUCUGUCUGUCUCAGACUUGUAAGAAUUGCCAGCCUUGUCAAUAAUUCCAUACUGCAAAACCCUCUUCUGAGUUGUUUGAUAAAAUCCUAAAUUAUCUUGGCACUAUUUAAGGCAAUAUCCACUACAGCUUGCAGCUGGCUUCCCUCUUAAACAUUCUGUCCAGCUUAGUGAAUCCUCUCCAACUCACCAUGCAAAUUCUUGCCACCUGGUUCAAUACUUUUGCUCAGGGGCCCUUUGAUGUGAUGUGUGAUUCCCUCUGUACACUACAAAGGGGUCCCAGUAUCUGCAAGUGUCUGAUACAGCAGAGCUCCCUCUGAGUGCCCAGAAAUACCUGUGAACCGGUCAUCACAGAGGGUUUAACAUCCAGUUCUAUCCCUGUGGGUUGGGAGUUGAAAUGGCAGCUUCUCCAGUCUCUUCCCCCACACUUCCCACUUUGUCCAAGCAGCCUGACAAAAAGUAUUGCAGCAAAUAUGGAAGAGCCUUCUGCACAUGAGAGAUGUGCUGAUCCAGGGUCCUGCUGAGUCAGGUACAGACACCUUUCUGAUGUAUGCAGUAAGCUACCACGUUCUGUAUGGCAGCAAAUCCAACUUGGGGCACCCUGUUCUAACAUUAUUGUAAAGGCAGUGAGGGAUUUUACAGUUUAAAUGAGACUACCUUGAGUAAAAUGAAUAUAAACAUUGUGGCUCAAAGUACAUAGUUGCAAAAGCAUGUGUCAAACUCUAAAUAGUACAAACUGUAUUGAAUUACUAUAAUAUUACAAGACCAAGCAAUUUUUCGUUAGAAAUCUACCUUCAUUUUGUAUUUUUCAUUUGCAUAUAUGGAUAAUUUUCUUGCUUUUUUGCAGUUGAUUUGCCUGCAUUUACUGCAUUGCUUUAAGCUGAUUUGUCUUCCUCUCUUUUUUUGUUCCCCCAAAAGAAAUCACUAAAGAGGUCAAAUCGGUUUCAAAAAAUAGGGGAAAGCAGAGUUUACACAUUAUUUUGUUGAACUGGGUGGGAUAAAAGGGAUUGCUUUUUCAUCUUUCAGUGAUAGAUAAAUAUAAAGUGUACACUUCAGUUGUAUAAACUGCUUUUUGAAAUUAAAAUUGAAAUGCAUUUUAGAGAGCUUGUAUAACUUCUUAUCUAUCACCAGAACAUGAGAAUUUCUAAAUACAUUAAAGAGUGUAUGGCAAUUAGGUUGUUGCUCUUAAAAACCAAUUAUUUCAAAUUACUAACGUUUUUCAACAACAUCUUGUUUCCUCGAUCAAGGUAUUUCUUUGAGAGAAAGCAGAGAAAGUCUUCCUGUAUAAAAUUAGGCUUAUAAUGUUUUAUGUACAUAAUAAAUACAAAACAACGGCUGAGAACUUACCAAUUGCCCUGAUCAAUUUUGGUGCAUUUCACAAAAGGAGAUGCUAUUUUAAAAAACAUUCUUCUCUAAUGCAGGUGAGACCAUAAGUGUAUAAGCUUAGAAACUAUUAGACAAACAGUGUUUCUUUUCUUCAUGGAAACAGGGAGAAAGAUUAAAAGGGUUUUCAUAUUGAGUUUUGUGGUGCUUCAACAUGCCACCACUCACAUUUUGAUAAGGCUCUUGAAGCUUUGUGAAGUUUUUCUUUCUGCUGCUUUUGAGAGUAUCUUUCUAUUAAGAGAUAUUAUGGUUGCCUUGUUUUUCCUGUAAAAUAGAUUCCAUUUUAUU
Motacilla alba alba is the source of this 5342-nucleotide long non-coding RNA. RefSeq lists it as uncharacterized. Lineage: Eukaryota; Metazoa; Chordata; Aves; Passeriformes; Motacillidae. The record is from RefSeq and is a predicted model, not a curated record. The transcript is spliced from 3 exons.